CUUAUCUCCCCCAAGAGUCCACAUCGACGGGGAGGUUUGGCACCUCGAUGUCGGCUCAUCGCAUCCUGGGGCUGUAGUCGGUCCCAAGGGUUGGGCUGUUCGCCCAUUAAAGCGGUACGCGAGCUGGGUUCAGAACGUCGUGAGACAGUUCGGUCCCUAUCCGUCGUGGGCGCAGGAAAUUUGAGAGGAGCUGUCCUUAGUACGAGAGGACCGGGAUGGACGCACCGCUGGUGUACCAGUUGUCUUGCCAAAGGCAUCGCUGGGUAGCUAUGUGCGGACGGGAUAAGUGCUGAAAGCAUCUAAGCAUGAAGCCCCCCUCAAGAUGAGAUUUCCCAUAGCGUCAAGCUAGUAAGAUCCCUGAAAGAUGAUCAGGUUGAUAGGUCAGAGGUGGAAGCGCGGUGACGUGUGGAGCUGACUGAUACUAAUCGAUCGAGGACUUAACCUAA
Molecule: ribosomal RNA, 446 nt
Filed under: Mesobacillus campisalis
Lineage: Bacteria; Bacillati; Bacillota; Bacilli; Caryophanales; Bacillaceae
Description: bacterial LSU rRNA
Rfam family: Bacterial large subunit ribosomal RNA
Source: RNAcentral